This 253-nucleotide ribosomal RNA is filed under the name uncultured bacterium. RNAcentral's name for it is "partial 16S ribosomal RNA". It matches the Rfam family "Bacterial small subunit ribosomal RNA", at positions 524 to 776 of the family's 1533-position model. The record is from RNAcentral.
UACGUAGGGGGCUAGCGUUGUCCGGAUUUAUUGGGCGUAAAGAGCGUGUAGGCGGCCAAGUAGGUCCGGUGUGAAAACUCGAGGCUUAACCUCGAGAUGUCAUCGGAAACCAUUUGGCUAGAGUCCGGAAGAGGAAAGUGGAAUUCCUGGUGUAGCGGUGAAAUGCGUAGAGAUCGGAAAGAACACCAGUGGCGAAGGCGGCGACCUGGAUCUUAACUGACACUGAGGUGCGAAAGCGUGGGGAGCAAACAGG